RNAcentral lists this ribosomal RNA (889 nucleotides) under uncultured bacterium. RNAcentral describes it as "bacterial SSU rRNA". It matches the Rfam family "Bacterial small subunit ribosomal RNA", at positions 67 to 952 of the family's 1533-position model. The record is from RNAcentral.
CGGCAGCGGGUUGUAGCAAUACAAUGCCGGCGAGUGGCGCACGGGUGCGUAACACGUAUGCAACCUACCCUAUACUGGGGCAUAACCUUUAGAAAUGAGGGCUAAUACUCCAUGUAAUUAUGAGAAGGCAUCUUUUUAUAAUUAAAGAUUUAUCGGUAUAGGAUGGGCAUGCGUCCCAUUAGUUAGUUGGUAAGGUAACGGCUUACCAAGACUGUGAUGGGUAGGGGUCCUGAGAGGGUUCACCCCCACACUGGUACUGAGACACGGACCAGACUCCUACGGGAGGCAGCAGUAAGGAAUAUUGGGCAAUGGCCGUAAGGCUGACCCAGCCAUGCCGCGUGCAGGAAGACGGCCUUAUGGGUUGUAAACUGCUUUUUUGUGGGAAUAACCGUAGCUAUGCGUAGCUACCUGCAAGUACCAUAAGAAUAAGCAUCGGCUAACUCCGUGCCAGCAGCCGCGGUAAUACGGAGGAUGCGAGCGUUAUCCGGAAUCAUUGGGUUUAAAGGGUGCGUAGGCUGGUAUUUAAGUCAGUGGUGAAAUUUUCGUGCUUAACAUGAGAGCUGCCAUUGAUACUGGGUACCUAGAGUGUAUUUGAUGUGGGCGGAAUGUGUUGUGUAGCGGUGAAAUGCUUAGAUAUGACACAGAACACCGAUAGCGAAGGCAGCUCACAAAGUUACAACUGAGGCUGAUGCACGAAAGCGUGGGGAUCAAACAGGAUUAGAUACCCUGGUAGUCCACGCUGUAAACGAUGAUCACUAGCUGUUGGCGAUAUACAGUCAGUGGCUAAGCUAAAGCGAUAAGUGAUCCACCUGGGGAGUACGUCCGCAAGGAUGAAACUCAAAGGAAUUGACGGGGGCCCGCACAAGCGGAGGAGCAUGUGGUUUAAUUC